Rhineura floridana is the source of this 2901-nucleotide long non-coding RNA. RefSeq lists it as uncharacterized. The transcript is spliced from 4 exons. The record is from RefSeq and is a predicted model, not a curated record. NCBI's taxonomy places the organism in Eukaryota, Metazoa, Chordata, Lepidosauria, Squamata, Rhineuridae.
AGGAUUUGCUAGAAGCGGAAGGAACUCUUCAACCAGGGAUGUAUUUGUGUGAGGAGGUUUAGUGCGUGGUUCUGCAGGAGAAAGGCUGUGAGGCGGUUUGGUGGCGAGAAGGGCGCAAGACCAGUUGGCAGAGUUCAGUUUUUCUUUCAGUGGGAGUGCCUGGCUCCGGCUGUCUUUGGGAAAGUUAGGAAGGACUAGAGUAGGGGGAGCCAAAGCUGUUUUUAGGUGGGGUUGCUGUUAGUUUGUAUGGCAAUGAUUGCGCACUAUGGGUUUGAAGAAGAUGUCUUCAGGCUGCUGAAUCCCACCUUAAUGUGGCUUUGAGUGAAUUGCAAAGCUGGUGUAAUCCUUGGGGCUUUUGGUUUUCCCGAAGCAAAACUGUAGCCUUUGUUGUAUGAUUUUUACGGAUGGCUCCUGGGAUUCCUCUGAUAGCAAAACCCAACCAGUUGCCCACGUCACUUUCAACUCCAUCUUACAAUAAAGCAAUGUCUGAAGAUGAAAAGAUGGCACUAGCUUCAAGAUUCCUUGGCAGCAAUCCUCAAAUCAGUUUACUCCAAGUGAAGUGGUUUGGUAAUUACCCUUACUGUCCUGAUACCUGGUAGGUACAGCAUUGUUAACUAUGAGGAAAUUACUAAAGCAGUAUGAACGGAACUUCAUUCUCCAGCCAGAUUGUGGAUGACAGAGCAAUACACAAGAACAAUGAGCCUUUUUAGACAAUCUGGAAUAGACCAUUGCCAGUCUAAAAAGGCUCCUACAGCUGAAUUCUGCUUUUUUGAAAUAAGCACUUCGGUGUUCCUCAUUUCACACUCAUGAACCAGCAUCAUAAAAGGAUUACUAUAAGUGACUCUAAAUUGCUAAAGUUUCUAUCUAGAAAUAUAUGGUAAAAAUUCAUUCAAUUUAUGCUUGGAGUACCAUUGUCCAGGUGGUUAGGGAAGAGGGUGGAGUGAUUUAAAUUAAGCUUCCUAUUUUGAAAUACUUUAAUUUCCUAAGUAAACAUGUAUUCUAACUGUUAUAAUAAUUAAAACAUAUUGGUUUGUAAUUAGUUUUUAUAUAACCUAAAAGCACAAUUCAGUAUCUUGUGUUUGUACAGCCCACAUUUGUGGGUGUAGAAGUAACAUACUCCCUAUAAAACAACAAACUUUUAUCCACCCUGCUAGGGAAUGGGACCAGCUAAAUAUCAGGCUAUUUGGGAUUGUAUUCAAUAUUAUGUUAAGUGAAACUUUCAAUCAGUGCAAUGAUUUUUCCUUCUACAACAGAGCAUUUUCUCCUUCUCCCCUCCCCAUGUGCCCCUAAAUCUGUUCUAGGGGUUUCUCCAGAGCAGAUUUGGAGAUAGUGCAGGGUGCGCACGGGGGGGGGAGUACCAUUGCACUAGUUGAAGUCAUUCCACUAGUGCAAGAAUUUAGUUGAAUACCACCUUAGAUUCUUCUCCUUCCUCUGCUAGGAAAGUUAUUUCUAACCAUCUGUAACUCAUUGGAUGAUAAUAUAUGCAUUCCUAAGUAGCAGAAGUUCAGUUUUUUUAAUAAAAUAAGAGAUUUACAAAAGGUAUAGAACUGAUAUCAAGAUUUAUAUACAGGCUAUCAAGAGUGAACAGGGUUUUUUUAAGUGCUUAAAAAGUUAUAAUAUGGUCAUGUGUUGUAGAGGAGUAAAUUAAGCUUUCUCAAGAGUGAGAAAUACAUUCCUCUUCUCAUACCCAAGAAAUCAACUUAUUAACCACAGUCAGGAAAAGUCCAAUGAUACAAGUGCUCCUUUUGCAGCACACAAAAAUUUAGUAAGUCAUGAGAUGAGGGUCCCACAUGUAGAUAGAAAGGCAGGUGAAAUGAUUUUAAUAAAUGUCUUCCACAUCUGGUCAUAAGGCUGUCUAGACAAUUAAGAGCAUUUUCAGAAGUGAUAACUGUGAAUGCCUUUUACACUGCUAUUUCCCUUUGUGAAUACUGACCAUAUACUUCUUAAAGGACCAAUGAAGGAAAUUCUAUGGUCUUUUAAAGCCACAACUUAUUUGCAUUUCAGGGACCUGCUGAAUAGAAACCAUGUUUAUUGUAUUCUAGUGCCAGUGUUUAUAUAUCUUCCACGUCGUCCAUAUAUUGUUUACUAUUACUAUUUAUCCCUAGUGUCUUUCUUUCAUGAGAGAUCACCACCUUUUUAUGCUGAGGCAUGUAUUUCAGCCUAUUUCUAUGCUACUUUGCUGAGGAAAUACAGAUCUAAGAUGGAAGAUGAAUGCAGACUGAUGUUUCAAGUGCUGAAAAUAUUAUUUUUAGAUUGCCUUCAGAAGAUGAAACUACUCCCAUUCAAACUCAAAGCAGUUUUGGAUGUCACCACACCUAAGGAGACACAGCUGGUUUACUGACAUUAUUUGAACUUUGGGGGAAAGUGAUUGUACAUCCACAGUUGUGGAACCCUAGUUGCAAGGCUGAAUAGACAAGUCAUGCCAAGCACAAUGCUAAGAUGAGGCUGACCAUCAGCAAAUGGGGUGGAGUUAUCUUAACCUUUUUUGGCAAAGGGUGUCAAUUUAUGGAUGCAGCUGUAGGUGUCAUCAAAUCCACAAAACUAGUUUAGGGCAUUUAGGGGAACUCAAUAUUCAAAGUUUAAAGCUUUAAUUUGUAGUUUUAUCCAUUUAAAACAGCAGAGCCAGAAAUGGCCAAAUAAUCACUUCUGAACUAAAAGUGAUUACUCCUACAUCAAUACCAGCAGUGCAGUGGGUAGCAAGAAACAAUCUGGGCCAGGCUGAUAGCAAUGUACAUUAAUUUCUAAACAAGCUAGAAACUUUUGGUUAGUUGCUCUUUUUAAAUUAGACUAGUUUUCAGAUUUAAUUCAUAAGGUACUUUGCCAUUGUUCUGUAAGUUGUUUUAUUUGUAACAAAUCAUUUCAUGUUUUGAAUUACUGGAAUCUGCUCUUCUAGAAAUAUAG